UACGUAGGGUGCAAGCGUUGUCCGGAAUUAUUGGGCGUAAAGCGCGUGUAGGCGGUCCGGUAAGUCCGCUGUGAAAGUCGGGGGCUCAACCCUCGAAUGCCGGUGGAUACUGUCGGGCUAGAGUGCGGAAGAGGCGAGUGGAAUUCCUGGUGUAGCGGUGAAAUGCGCAGAUAUCAGGAGGAACACCUAUUGCGAAGGCAGCUCGCUGGGACGUAACUGACGCUGAGACGCGAAAGCGUGGGGAGCAAACAGG
This 253-nucleotide ribosomal RNA is filed under the name uncultured bacterium. RNAcentral describes it as "partial 16S ribosomal RNA". It matches the Rfam family "Bacterial small subunit ribosomal RNA", at positions 524 to 776 of the family's 1533-position model. The record is from RNAcentral.